AUUUAUAAUUAAAAUCUAGUAUGAAGGGUUGAAUGAAAUAUAAACUUUUUUUAUAUUUAUUUUUUAAUUUAAUUUUUUAGUUAAAAAGCUAAAAUAAAUUUAAGGGACGAGAAGACCCUAUAGAUUUUUAUAAAAUUUAUUUAUAUAUUAUUAAAAAUUUAUAUUAUUUAAAUUUUAUUUUAUUGGGGAGAUAUAAAAAUUUAUUAAACUUUUUAUAAAAUUAUAAUAAAAAUUUUUAUUUAAAUGAUCCAGAAAUUUUGAUUAAAAAUUUAAAUUACCUUAGGGAUAACAGCAUAAUUUUUUUAUAAAGUUCUUAUUGAUAAAAAAGAUUAU
Molecule: ribosomal RNA, 333 nt
Filed under: Monardia abnormis
Lineage: Eukaryota; Metazoa; Arthropoda; Insecta; Diptera; Cecidomyiidae
Description: partial 16S ribosomal RNA
Source: RNAcentral